This 1282-nucleotide long non-coding RNA is filed under the name Malus domestica (apple). RNAcentral describes it as "long non-coding RNA (MDOM_LNC009939)". Lineage: Eukaryota; Viridiplantae; Streptophyta; Magnoliopsida; Rosales; Rosaceae. The record is from RNAcentral.
AACAUGAUGUACUUUUAUGCGAGUCUGAAAGAAAAUUAUACUUCAGAUUAAAGAUACCAAGAAAAUUCAUUUAUGGCCUAACUACUUAAAAAGCAUAUAAAGGACUAACAAUCCCUGACAGAUCCAGGCAGAGGUAGGUCAGUUGAGGAAUGGUUGAGCUGAUUCUGUUGAACAGCGUAUGGCGAAGGUCUUUGGUUUCAUCAAGGACUAGGGAUGGGCAAUGGUUAUAAUGGGCGGGUAACCGUGCUUAUUUACCCAUAACCAUUUAUAUUCAUACCUGUAUAACUGUUUACCCAUUGGGUAAUUGUAUAAAUGGUUAUACCCAUAACCAUAACCGUUUAUAAACGAUUAUCCAUACCCAUAACCGUGUACCCAUUUAACCAUAACUAUUUACCCUAGGGCUGGGUUCGGUUUGAAAUGGUUCGGUUUUUAGCAAAAAACGAAACCAAACCGAAAUUUCGGUUCGGUUCGGUUCAAAUUUUUUCGGUUCGGUUUUUUUCGGUUUUGGUUUUUUUUGGUUUGGUUUCAGUCCGGUUCGGUUUUUUCCAUGAUUUUUUUUAAUUUGUAACAAAUCUGCAACGAUUGAUUGCGAGCACUGAAGAUGCAAAAACUUAUUGGGUGUUGGUGUAAAUGAAUAUGAACUAGAACAAAUCUGCAAAUCUACAUUGGAAUAAAUCUGCAAAUAAAUACGAACUGGAACAAAUCUGCAAAUGAAUACAAAAAUUACAAUAUAAAAUCCCAACAAAUCUGCAAAGAUUAUAACAUGCAAAAUCCCAACUAAUAAUUAAAAGAAAAACCCAUUUUAAUUCAGUAAAUCACAAUAUAAAAUCCCAACAAAUCUGCAAAUGAAUACGAAAAUUACAAUAUAAAAUCCCAACAAAUCUGCAAAGAUUAUAACAUGAAAAAUCCCAACAAAUAAUUAAAAGAAAAACCCAUUUUAAUUCAGUAAAUCACAAUAUAAAAUUAUAAAUCAUAUUAGUUUUGAUUCAAAAAUUACCUGUGAGAGAUCGGAAAACCCGGAUUAGAAUCUUCCAAUUUGGAGGGGGUUCUGAUUCGAAAGGGGCGAGGGAAAAUCAUGGUUUGGAAGAAGGAAUCCGCGAGGAGGACAUGAAAAGACUGGAGAGGGAGUGAUUUGGAGGAAGAAAGGAAGGAGAGAGAGAGAGAAAGAGAGAGAGGCUGAGGAAGCAAAGGCAAAGAGAGGAAGUAGCGGAGGGGAGAGUGUUUGAAAUCUGAAAUGGGAAGUGAGACAAAGUGUGAGACGGCUAGGGUUUGUAGAGUUAAG